RNAcentral lists this ribosomal RNA (512 nucleotides) under uncultured microorganism. RNAcentral describes it as "bacterial SSU rRNA". It matches the Rfam family "Bacterial small subunit ribosomal RNA", at positions 9 to 527 of the family's 1533-position model. The record is from RNAcentral.
GAGUUUGAUCAUGGCUCAGGAUGAACGCUAGCGGCAGGCUUAACACAUGCAAGUCGAGGGGUAUAGUAGCAAUACUAGAGACCGGCGCACGGGUGCGUAACGCGUAUGCAACCUACCUUUUACAGGGAAUAGCCCAGAGAAAUUUGGAUUAAUGCCCCAUGGUAUAUUUUAGUGACAUCACUAGAUUAUUAAAGUUCCAACGGUAAAAGAUGGGCAUGCGUCCUAUUAGCUAGAUGGUAAGGUAACGGCUUACCAUGGCUACGAUAGGUAGGGUCCUGAGAGGGAGAUCCCCCACACUGGUACUGAGACACGGACCAGACUCCUACGGGAGGCAGCAGUGAGGAAUAUUGGACAAUGGGCGCAAGCCUGAUCCAGCCAUGCCGCGUGCAGGAAGAAGCAUCUAUGGUGUGUAAACUGCUUUUGUACGGGAAGAAACACUCAACGUGUUGGAGCUUGACGGUACCGUAAGAAUAAGGAUCGGCUAACUCCGUGCCAGCAGCCGCAGUAAGACC